GAAGGUAACGUAGAAGCUUGAA
RNAcentral lists this unclassified non-coding RNA (22 nucleotides) under Dictyostelium discoideum. Lineage: Eukaryota; Evosea; Eumycetozoa; Dictyosteliales; Dictyosteliaceae. The record is from RNAcentral.